CGUCGUGAGGCGGAAUCCGAAGGAAGCCGGAUGUAGAGGCUGAGAAGUGCCUCUGCGGGCAAAGCUCCGGACUGACGAACAGAAAUCGCAUAGAAGGCAGACUUGGGACGGACGACUCUGCCAAACAAGAAGAAGUCCAAUGCACCCGAAUUCCAUACAGUAGAUGCGGCGGUUACGGAAUGAAGGUUAUUG
This 192-nucleotide non-coding RNA is filed under the name human gut metagenome. The record is from RNAcentral.